RNAcentral lists this transfer RNA (61 nucleotides) under Terebratulina retusa. RNAcentral describes it as "transfer RNA-Arg". Lineage: Eukaryota; Metazoa; Brachiopoda; Rhynchonellata; Terebratulida; Cancellothyrididae. The record is from RNAcentral.
UCUUUAGAAGCAUUAUAGAUGUAAUUGGUUUCGGCCCAAAGGAUGCCCACAGCCUAAAGAU